This 232-nucleotide long non-coding RNA is filed under the name Homo sapiens (human). Lineage: Eukaryota; Metazoa; Chordata; Mammalia; Primates; Hominidae. The record is from RNAcentral.
CAGGCAUGCUAUACACAUUCUCUACUGAAAUCAGUGUCCUCAAAUGCCUGCGGCGUUCUAAACACACGAGCAACAAGGAGGCAUAGCCACUGACCAGAGAAGAUGAAGCACUCUGGAGAGAUCAAAGACCAUCGGGCCUGAGUGGCUGUACAAUUUCGCACUGGGGGUUCUAUUCAGCAGUCUAAAUUGCAGCUGGUCUGUCUGUCCAAAGCACAACAUGGCACACAAUUAU